AUUGAACGCUGGCGGCAGGCCUAACACAUGCAAGUCGAGCGGAGCGGCGGACGGGUGAGUAAUGCCUAGGAAUCUGCCUGGUAGUGGGGGAUAACGUCCGGAAACGGGCGCUAAUACCGCAUACUAUCAGAUGAGCCUAGGUCGGAUGAGCUAGUUGGUGGGGUAAUGGCCUACCAGGGCGACGAUCCGUAACUGGUCUGAGAGGAUGAUCAGUCACACUGGAACUGAAAAACGGUCCAGACUCCUACGGGAGCCAGCAGUGGGGAAUAUUGGGCAAUGGACGAAAGCCUGAUCCAGACAUGCCGCGUGGUUGAGAAGGAUCUUCGGAUUGUAAAGCACUUUAAGUUGGGAGGCGUUACCAGCAGAAUAAGCACCGGCUAACUUCGUGCCAGCCGCGGCGGUAAUAC
Molecule: ribosomal RNA, 407 nt
Filed under: uncultured bacterium
Lineage: Bacteria
Description: partial 16S ribosomal RNA
Rfam family: Bacterial small subunit ribosomal RNA
Source: RNAcentral